RNAcentral lists this ribosomal RNA (497 nucleotides) under uncultured bacterium. RNAcentral describes it as "partial 16S ribosomal RNA". It matches the Rfam family "Bacterial small subunit ribosomal RNA", at positions 28 to 507 of the family's 1533-position model. The record is from RNAcentral.
GAUGAACGCUGGCGGCGUGCCUAAUACAUGCAAGUCGAGCGAAUAGACGAGGAGCUUGCUCCUCUGACGUUAGCGGCGGACGGGUGAGUAACACGUGGAUAACCUACCUAUAAGACUGGGAUAACUUCGGGAAACCGGGGCUAAUACCGGAUAAUAUAUUGAACCGCAUGGUUCAAUAGUGAAAGACGGUUUUGCUGUCACUUAUAGAUGGAUCCGCGCCGCAUUAGCUAGUUGGUAAGGUAACGGCUUACCAAGGCAACGAUGCGUAGCCGACCUGAGAGGGUGAUCGGCCACACUGGAACUGAGACACGGUCCAGACUCCUACGGGAGGCAGCAGUAGGGAAUCUUCCGCAAUGGGCGAAAGCCUGACGGAGCAACGCCGCGUGAGUGAUGAAGGUCUUCGGAUCGUAAAACUCUGUUAUUAGGGAAUAACAAAUGUGUAAGUAACUAUGCACGUCUUGACGGUACCUAAUCAGAAAGCCACGGCUAACUACGUG